CCUUCGGGUUGUAAACCGCUUUUGUCAGGGAAGAAAAGUCUCGAGCGAAUAACUUGGGACGAUGACGGUACCUGAAGAAUAAGCACCGGCUAACUACGUGC
RNAcentral lists this ribosomal RNA (101 nucleotides) under uncultured bacterium. Its description in RNAcentral is "partial 16S ribosomal RNA". The record is from RNAcentral.